This 496-nucleotide ribosomal RNA is filed under the name uncultured bacterium. RNAcentral's name for it is "partial 16S ribosomal RNA". It matches the Rfam family "Bacterial small subunit ribosomal RNA", at positions 29 to 507 of the family's 1533-position model. The record is from RNAcentral.
AUGCACGCUGGCGGCGUGCCUAAUACAUGCCCGUCGAGCGAACAGACGAGGAGCUUGCUCCUCUGACGUUGGCGGCGGACGGGUGAGUAACACGUGGAUAACCUACCUAUAAGACUGGGAUAACUUCGGGAAACCGGAGCUAAUACCGGAUAAUAUAUUGAACCGCAUGGUUCAAUAGUGAAAGACGGUUUUGCUGUCACUUAUAGAUGGAUCCGCGCCGCAUUAGCUAGUUGGUAAGGUAACGGCUUACCAAGGCAACGAUGCGUAGCCGACCUGAGAGGGUGAUCGGCCACACUGGAACUGAGACACGGUCCAGACUCCUACGGGAGGCAGCAGUAGGGAAUCUUCCGCAAUGGGCGAAAGCCUGACGGAGCAACGCCGCGUGAGUGAUGAAGGUCUUCGGAUCGUAAAACUCUGUUAUUAGGGAAGAACAAAUGUGUAAGUAACUAUGCACGUCUUGACGGUACCUAAUCAGAAAGCCACGGCUAACUACGUG